Molecule: ribosomal RNA, 484 nt
Filed under: uncultured bacterium
Lineage: Bacteria
Description: partial 16S ribosomal RNA
Rfam family: Bacterial small subunit ribosomal RNA
Source: RNAcentral
ACUCAAAUGAAUUGACGGGGGCCCGCACAAGCAGCGGAGCGUGUGGUUUAAUUCGAUGCAACGCGCAGAACCUUACCUCGGCUUGACAUGCACGUGGUACUGAUCCGUAAGGAGAGGGACCCGCGAGGGAGCGUGCACAGAUGCUGCAUGGCUGUCGUCAGCUCGUGCCGUGAGGUGUUGGGUUAAGUCCCGCAACGAGCGCAACCCUUGUCCUUAGUUGCCUUCUCUAAGGAGACCGCCGGUCUAAACCGGAGGAAGGUGGGGAUGACGUCAAGUCAGCACGGCUCUUACGUCGAGGGCUACACACACGCUACAAUGGCCGGUACAACGGGCAGCCAAGGGGCGACCCGGAGCUAAUCCCACCAAAGCCGGUCUCAGUUCGGAUCGCAGGCUGCAACUCGCCUGCGUGAAGUCGGAGUUGCUAGUAACGGCUGGUCAGCACACAGCCGUGAAUACGUUCCCGGGCCUUGCACACACCGCCCGU